AGAGUUUGAUCCUGGCUCAGAACGAACGCUGGCGGCGUGCUUAACACAUGCAAGUCGAACGUGAUCCAGAGCUUGCUCUGGUGAAAGUGGCGCACGGGUGAGUAACGCGUGGAUAACCUGCCCUGGUAUCUGGGAUAACAUCUCGAAAGGGGUGCUAAUACCGGAUAAGCCUACGGACUCCUCGGAGUCUGCAGGAAAAGGAGGCCUCUAUUUAUAAGCUUCCGUAUCAUGAUGGGUCCGCGUACCAUUAGCUAGUUGGUGGGGUAAUGGCCUACCAAGGCGACGAUGGUUAGCUGGUYUGAGAGGAUGAUCAGCCACACUGGAACUGAGACACGGUCCAGACUCCUACGGGAGGCAGCAGUGGGGAAUUUUGCGCAAUGGGSGAAAGCCUGACGCAGCAACGCCGCGUGAGUGAUGAAGGCCUUCGGGUCGUAAAGCUCUGUCAGAGGGGAAGAACCGCCGGGUGGCUAAUACCUGCCUGGUCUGACGGUACCCUCAAAGGAAGCACCGGCUAACUCCGUGCCAGCAGCCGCGGUAAUAC
RNAcentral lists this ribosomal RNA (541 nucleotides) under uncultured Geobacter sp. Its description in RNAcentral is "bacterial SSU rRNA". It matches the Rfam family "Bacterial small subunit ribosomal RNA", at positions 8 to 526 of the family's 1533-position model. Lineage: Bacteria; Pseudomonadati; Thermodesulfobacteriota; Desulfuromonadia; Geobacterales; Geobacteraceae. RNAcentral also lists the same sequence under 1 other name. The record is from RNAcentral.